Molecule: ribosomal RNA, 318 nt
Filed under: uncultured Bacteroidota bacterium
Lineage: Bacteria; Pseudomonadati; Bacteroidota
Description: bacterial SSU rRNA
Rfam family: Bacterial small subunit ribosomal RNA
Source: RNAcentral
GAUGAACGCUAGCGGCAGGCUUAACACAUGCAAGUCGAGGGGUAUAGUAGCAAUACUAGAGACCGGCGCACGGGUGCGUAACGCGUAUGCAAUCUACCUUUCACAGAGGGAUAGCCCAGAGAAAUUUGGAUUAAUACCUCAUGGUAUUAUAUUAUGGCAUCAUAUUAUAAUUAAAGUUACAACGGUGAAAGAUGAGCAUGCGUCCCAUUAGCUAGUUGGUAUGGUAACGGCAUACCAAGGCGACGAUGGGUAGGGGUCCUGAGAGGGAGAUCCCCCACACUGGUACUGAGACACGGACCAGACUCCUACGGGUGGCAG